RNAcentral lists this ribosomal RNA (278 nucleotides) under uncultured bacterium. RNAcentral describes it as "partial small subunit ribosomal RNA". It matches the Rfam family "Bacterial small subunit ribosomal RNA", at positions 26 to 285 of the family's 1533-position model. The record is from RNAcentral.
AGAAUCAACGCUGGCGGCGUGCCUCAGACAUGCAAGUCGAACGCGAAAGUUCCCUUCGGGGGGCGAGUAGAGUGGCGCACGGGUGAGUAACACGUAGGUAAUCUACCUUUGGGUGGGGAAUAACAGCCGGAAACGGCUGCUAAUACCGCAUAAUGCAGCGGCUCGACAUCGAGACAGUUGUUAAAGCGGGGGAUUCGAAAGAACCUCGCGCCUAAAGAGGAGCCUGCGGCGGAUUAGCUAGUUGGUAAGGUAAUGGCUUACCAAGGCAUCGAUCCGUA